GGGUCGUGAGAAAAUACGCAGGAAGAGAUACCCUGUGGACAUGUUUCCCUUGGAAAGUGGAUGGAACCCUCUGAGCCGUGAUUCCGCCUGAAUUAAGCAGUGGCGGGCAGUGGCCUGGCAGGCGGCUUCUGCGGCCUUGGAUUUGCACCUCUAAGGGGUCACAGGGGCCACCCCCGAAGCAAGACAAAGUGUGAUCAUGAACAGGCCCUCGGGGGGCCAGAAGAAGGAACGGCUCCAGUGAUGAAGGCUGAACGCCAGCUCUCUCCCCUUGGUUCUCCCGGCCCAGGAGAGGGCUGCUCGGCAGGGCUGGGUUUAAAAACCUUCCAUGCAACUGGCAAAGGCAUCCACAGUGACUUCUGCUGCUGCGGUACGUUCUGCCCUCCCCUCCUCCCCACCCCAUCCUAUUCUCGGCGACAAGUGAUUUAUAUGUACAGUGUCAUCUGAACGUGCAUGGGCCGAUCCCAGGACAUCACACACAAAGAGGCUGCGGUGAACCCAAGCCGCCGGGCCAGCCUGUGGCUGUGUCUGUUCCAGAAGUCCCGGCCCCAGGCGGCUGUCCUGAACAGGGCCACUGGAACUCAGGAGGGUCAGGACCACAGCCCAAACAACUGUGACCGAAAACACCCUACAGGGCUUGAGAACUAAAAAAUAGGAGGGAUCUGGGCAGCCGAGCUGCCUCCUAAAGAAGCCACGUCGUAGAGAAAACUGCCUGCUCUAUCUAUGAGACAGAGGCGGCCAGGGUGUCCUGCCAGCAGACAUGGGUCUGUCCAUCACCGGCCACCACGCUGCCUCUGUCCUUCACUCCCAUUUAAGGGAAAACGAUAUCUCUUCAUCUUUCUGCCCUGGACAUUGGAAAACAGCAGUGAGAGCAGUGCUCUUGCUAUAAAAUGCUCAGGUUCUAGAAUGCUCCCAUCUUUCCUUCCAUUCCACGUGGAGUUUAUCCAAAGAACAAAGGCCAGUCAUGGCACUGACGUCCGUGAUGCCUGCUCGCCGGGGAGCGAGAAACAGAAGCCUGUCCUCAGAGGACUGGGAGCCCACAGCUGCUUGUGGGUGGGGCCAGCCCGCAGCUCCUCCUGGAGGCCCUGGGCUUCUUGACGCUGCAUUUCUGUGACACGUGGAGGGAGGAUCGUUUUGACACCUGCCUGGGAAGUUUCAAAGGAGAUAGCUUCUGGGCAGGGGUUUUAAACCGAAGGGCACCACACAGAUCCAGAUGUGAACUGUGGCUGUUGUUUGCAAUUGAAGCAGAGAUGCAGAGGAUGCAACAGGAGUGCCGGCCACACUUCUCUAUGGCCUUGGCCCAGCCAAGACCCCCAGUCAAUGGGUCUACAGGACCCCCGCUACACAGGGACCUGGGAAACACCUUUGCUGCGGUCGACCACUGGGUCCGCCGUGCACCGCCCACACCUGGCUGUGCCUGGAGACUGAGAGCAGGGGGUGACGGUGGGCCUGGAAGAGUCUCUCCCUUUUGCAAAUGCCAGCCACAGAGGUUUAUUUUUCUCCCUGAGAGAAAGAAGAGUGAAGGCUGAGACUGAGACAGAGGGACAGAAGGAAAAGACUUAGAAGCCAGCGAGUCCGGAGCCAUGAGAUGCGCUCCGAGGACACAGGCCUCGGGGAAACUGGGCACGGGCAGGGGUUGGUCUUGGCUUCGCCACAACAUUGCUGCGAGCUCGGGUGCCGUCUCCACUCGCAGGCUGGCCUGUCCUCUGCAGCCACAAGCUCAGGCACCGUCUCCAUUCAUAGGCCGGCCUGUUCUCUGCAGCCUGAGGUCCCUGUGGUGCCAACAUCCAGAUGCUGAGAUAAUUCUGCCAGGGUGUUGGCUGAUCGGUGAUUGGUGGUUGGCUGUUCUGUGAGUUCUGCAUUGAUCUUGCUGGCUAAGCAUCCAAUACGGAGGGGCAGGCGCUGUUAGGGUCUCCACUCCCAUCCCUCUCCCCAGGACUCAUCACCCACUGCAACCGUAAGCUGCUAGGGGCUCACAGCCAUGAGUCUUUGGGAGGGGUCCCACCUGGCAUGCAGCUCAGGCUCCCAGCCCCAGGACCCGGCCGCCGCUCCCCUCCCGCCCACAUCUUGGCUUAGCUGUCUUCCCUGGCUGCCAGCCCCUUCCCCUGGUCUUAGUUGACUUGGGCCACUAAACUGAAAUAGCACACCCUGAGGACUUCAACAGCAGACCUGAUUUCUCACCAUCUGGAGGCUGGAGGUCCAGGAUCCAGGCCCCCAAGGCUGCUUUCUCCCCCACUCCCCCACCCACCCUCCAGGGCACGCAGACUCCACCCUCUUGCUGCCCUGUCUCAGGGCUGUCCCUCUGGGCAAGCAGGCCCCUGGCAUCCCUGUGUGUCCUCUCCUCCUGUUCUUAUAAGGACACCGGUCAUACUGGAUCCGGGCCCACCCUAGUGACCUCAUUUACCUUAAUCACCUCUUGAAAGAGCUUGUCUCAACAACAGCCACAUUCUGGGGCACUGAGGGUUAGGGCUUUAACAUGGGAAUUUGAGGGAUGCAAUUCACCCCGUAAAACCCAGACCGUUCCCCCAAUAAAUCACUUUCACAAGAGCUCUUCUCUCAGGCUUUGCUUCUGGGGGAUCCCCCUUGAUAUGGAUCCAUCUAGCUUCCUGCUUCUCAAAGAACGGAGGGGAGAGCCCUAGUGUGAAGGGAACGGGUGGCCUCGGGGACCUGCGGAUAAGCUGCUGGCACUGCCAGGGGACAGGCUGAGCUGAAAGCCAGGAGGAGGGUGGCGAGGCCCGCGGCUGGACCUCAUUCUUCUGAGUAUUAUAAAGUCUGGCUUUGCUCAGAAA
RNAcentral lists this long non-coding RNA (2786 nucleotides) under Pongo abelii (Sumatran orangutan). RNAcentral's name for it is "lincRNA". Lineage: Eukaryota; Metazoa; Chordata; Mammalia; Primates; Hominidae. The record is from RNAcentral.